This is a long non-coding RNA of Osmia lignaria (orchard mason bee), 2597 nucleotides long. RefSeq lists it as uncharacterized. The record is from RefSeq and is a predicted model, not a curated record. Lineage: Eukaryota; Metazoa; Arthropoda; Insecta; Hymenoptera; Megachilidae.
ACUCGCGGUUCCGAACUCUAGUGACUAGUCGCGAAACUGCUGGGGGGAGGGGUGCGAACCGAAGACAUUUAGUUUCAAUAUCGCCAACUUCGGGUGAAAUCGUGCGUGAUCGGAGUGCGUUCGGAAAGAAGUGAAGUUCGUCUCUAAUUGAGACAUCGAAGUGUAUACGAAUUGUGCGUAGUACGUCCUGGGAAUCAAGCCGUGAAAUGUCAUUAGAUAGUAUAUGCGUAUGUAAACGAACAUGGUAAACGAAUAGUUGCGUGUGCACGGUGUAAAUGUGUUUACGUUCUAUCGGAGCCUUUGUGAUCGGUUAGAUACGACAGGAAACCUCUCGGUAUUUUGAUCGCGAAUGCGUCGCGUCGUAUGCGUAUUUGUGUUCACGCGUCUACGUUGUCCUGUUUGGAGGCCAUUUUGUGAUUGUUCGCGGUUACAUCACCGGGAGAUAAAUCAUCAUUUCGACGCAUCAAGGGAAGGCUGUUGGCGAACAAACUCGAUCCCGGAUUCCCCCUCUCUCUCUCUCUCUACGUUAUAAUUCGCAAGGAUUUUCACCGUUGGGUGUUUCCACGUGGCCAGCCAGACGGAGACGCGUUCGUUAAGCCUGCAACGCAAUUGUUCCGGGCAACUGUGACCGAGGAAGAGGAGGAUCCGCACGCAGGCUACCCGGGUGACCAUGUGGUGCGAGUCACAUCAGAAGACUGCUUUACCCGAAAUUUACGACUGUCCUGGUAACAACCGGAAGCUUUCCAGCUUCGCAUAACCAGCCUCUUUCCCUUUCUCAACAGCGAGAAAGUCGCGCGAUCGUUUACGGGUCUCGGAACGUAAAUAGUUACCGUUUCGGUCGUCGUAACCUUGCUCGUUUCGUUCCGCGUCUCUAAAUCACCUUCAAUCGAGCACGGCUACCGUGUCCGUAGCAGUCGGUGUUGUACUUCUGAACGGUGAUUACGAGCUGUGCGAUUGUCGCGAAUAAAGGAGCACCCAUGGCUUCACCACCUGCAGCGAUGGUCAUUUUCUACAGGUCUUCCUGCUGGAAUUCUGGUUCAUCAACGAGAGUACAGGGGGAAACGGAGUUGCCGGUGAAAAGAGUUUUGAACGGUGGCCAAGGACCAAGGCGAGAAAUGUAAUUAUGACGCUGCGGAAAAGUGUCCCUAAUUGUCGAAUCCGCGGAGCAGCCUAAUUGCUGGAACUUGGUGACCCUCCAGAAGGUGCUUAAAGGUGAGUCGCUUUUGCGUUGCGAUCUAAUUUUCUUGUUGAAACGAGCCACGAAUAUUUACGUUUCGUUAGCGAAUCCUGCCGCUCGGAAUCGUGUUAUCGCAAAUAUAUUUUUCAAAUUAUUUUAAUCCAAGCGUUUAUGUUUGCGCAUUACGCUGCGGUAUCGUGCACACAUUCCGAAUCGUACGAUAACCGAGGGGAAUUGUGUGCAUAAAACUGAUAAUUAUUAUGCAGUAUCGAAAAAACAAUUUUCUGUAUUCGUAUCAAUUAUCUUUUAUUAAAUUUCUCAAAACUAUCCGAGUAACUCAUACACAGACAGUACCGUCGCUAAAAGAUGAAUAAUAACAGAUCGGUCUUAAAGAUGAGACUAAUAAUAGCAGAAACGGUGUCCCUGAAACUUCUGAAUGCUCUUAACCAAGCACCAUGAAAUUUACCCGGGAUAGAACUCAUCCGAGCGAUAAUUAAAGCCUCGGUUGAACGACGUUAUUAAAGUUCACGGUCUCGAGCAUAAAGUCAGAAACUUCGGUACCGAUUACAGUCCCGAAGCACGAGCUUUUCCUCGAGCAUCCUCGGAUUCUUCAACCUCGAUUGGACGUUGCGUCGGUUCGGUAACGAGCGAAGUGACGAUACCGCUUCCGGUAUUUCGGUGGUUUCCUCCGUUCACGGUUUCUUAAAGUACGAAGCUUUGUCGCAACGUCCUCGGUGCCUCUAUCAGAGAUCCAGAGGCACGAAAGACGAGAGGAGACUGCAAGACCUUCAGCAGAUUCACCGGAAGCUUGUCGUAAUACCGCUAUUAAAAUGCAAUCCCACAUCUUACCCGAACGAAGAGAUUCUCUGCUCUCUUCUCAACCCUCUCUCUCUCUUUGUUUCUGUAGCUGUUCACGAUGUCCCGGCGUUGUAAGACGCGGCUUGUACCAUGGCCGACUCGCGUUUCAUCGUGUUUCUCGUUUUAUUCAUUAAAUAACCGUGGCGUCGGUUCCGGGCAACGUGCCGGGGUAAGUUCUAAACGGCUCUUCCGGCGAAUGCAAAUGCGCGUCCGCCUGUAAGCGGAACGCGGUAAUUAAAAGGCCGCGCGAGGACAAGUUUCCCGAUGACUUCGCGCGGUACGCUUCGCCUCUUGCCGCCCUUUUCUCCCCUUCAAUCUUCUCGUUGUUUAAUGAUGGGCAGGUACGUAUCCAUCGGAACGUAUUAAUAUAAAUAACGCGAUAGGAAAAAAUAUUUCUAAUUACCGUAACGGAUUCACGGGGAAUAGAAGAGUGCGAGAAGCAGGGAAACGUUUGGUGUGCCAUUUCGUUCAAGUGGCAACUGUCUGAAGCGCGUUGUAGCGAAAGGGUUAAUGGGACUUUUUGAAAGUCCCCCGGCCGCGGUUUCUGUUUGAACGCGUCGGU